AAGUCGUAACAAGGUAACCGUAGGUGAACCUGCGGUUGGAUCAUUAAAAAAUCUAGAAGGUCUUCAAGACCUCUCUAACAUUUUGUGAAUCGUUUAUACGUCUCUCUCAACCUAAACUUUGUAAUAAAAACUUUGUCUAAAGCUUAAAAAUCUUAAAUUAAAAACAACUUUUAACAACGGAUCUCUAGGCUCUC
This 194-nucleotide unclassified non-coding RNA is filed under the name fungal sp. RNAcentral describes it as "partial internal transcribed spacer region". The stretch from base 1 to 46 matches the Rfam family "Eukaryotic small subunit ribosomal RNA", at positions 1786 to 1831 of the family's 1831-position model. RNAcentral also lists the same sequence under 1 other name. The record is from RNAcentral. Lineage: Eukaryota; Fungi.